This 61-nucleotide microRNA precursor is filed under the name Pristionchus pacificus. RNAcentral describes it as "mir-8364 microRNA precursor family". It matches the Rfam family "mir-8364 microRNA precursor family". The record is from Rfam by way of RNAcentral. Lineage: Eukaryota; Metazoa; Nematoda; Chromadorea; Rhabditida; Neodiplogasteridae.
UCCUCAUUUCACGUGCUCGCUCGACGGUCAGAGUGGCGAGAGAGUGUGCGAAAUGAAGAGA